GUGCUCUCUUUGGCAGCACAUAUACUAAAAUUGGAACGAUAGAGAGAAGAUUAGCAUGGCCCCUGCGCGUACAAAUGGAUGGAAAUAGAAAUCUUGCAGUUUUAA
This is a small nuclear RNA of Microtus ochrogaster (prairie vole), 105 nucleotides long. Lineage: Eukaryota; Metazoa; Chordata; Mammalia; Rodentia; Cricetidae. The record is from Ensembl.